GAUGAACGCUGGCGGCGUGCUUAACACAUGCAAGUCGAACGGUGAAGGCGGAGCUUGCUCUGCUGGAUCAGUGGCGAACGGGUGAGUAACACGUGAGCAAUCUGCCCCUGACUCUGGGAUAAGCGCUGGAAACGGCGUCUAAUACUGGAUACGAGCUGCGAAGGCAUCUUCAGCAGCUGGAAAGAAUUUCGGUCAGGGAUGAGCUCGCGGCCUAUCAGCUUGUUGGUGAGGUAAUGGCUCACCAAGGCGUCGACGGGUAGCCGGCCUGAGAGGGUGACCGGCCACACUGGGACUGAGACACGGCCCAGACUCCUACGGGAGGCAGCAGUGGGGAAUAUUGCACAAUGGGCGAAAGCCUGAUGCAGCAACGCCGCGUGAGGGACGACGGCCUUCGGGUUGUAACCCUCUUUUAGCAGGGAAGAAGCGAAAGUGACGGUACCUGCAGAAAAAGCGCCGGCUAACUACGUG
Molecule: ribosomal RNA, 468 nt
Filed under: uncultured bacterium
Lineage: Bacteria
Description: partial 16S ribosomal RNA
Rfam family: Bacterial small subunit ribosomal RNA
Source: RNAcentral